This is a long non-coding RNA of Platichthys flesus (European flounder), 779 nucleotides long. RefSeq lists it as uncharacterized. The transcript is spliced from 3 exons. NCBI's taxonomy places the organism in Eukaryota, Metazoa, Chordata, Actinopteri, Pleuronectiformes, Pleuronectidae. The record is from RefSeq and is a predicted model, not a curated record.
GUACAGUGUGGUGAGUCUCAUCAGCCACAUUGGAUGCAGUGCAACAUCAGGACAUUAUGUUAGUGCAGGAGUCCAGCGAGGAGCUGUUGAAGAUGAUACCACUGACUCCUGGCUCACAUAUGAUGACAGUUAUGUCACAAACGUAUCAGGGGAAUCGGUUUGUAGCAGUUAUAAAAAAAAUGCUUACGUCCUCUUCUACAAGAGACGGGACUGACGCCAGGGACCUGACCAGGCGGAUGGCUCUCCCCCACCUGCUCCACCAGCACCACAGCGAUGAACCCAACUAGAGGAUAAGCCUUACCCUAACCCAUUUUGGGGGGUCCUCAUAAAUUCAAGAGCGCUGUUUGGAUGUUAAGACUUUGCUUUAGGAAAGGAGUUACAAUGCUGGUUAGGUUAGGGUUAUAAAUUUUGUUGUGGGGGUAUGAGGAUGCAUUAUGUCUUCUAGUGUCCUCACCACUAUAGAGAGAUGUGUGUGAGUGAUGGGAUGUGUCAUCGGUGUGUGUAUCCAGGUUGAUUUUUGCGCUUUUACAUGUGAUAUGUGUUUGGGUGUGUGAGCAGCACUAGCUAACCCCCAUCAAGGCCAAAAAUAGGGACCAUCUUUACAUAAAGUCAUAUUGUUGAUAUUGUAGGAGGUGAUUUUUUCCAUAGAUAUGUAUUCUGAGGUUGGUCUCGCGGGUGAUAAUUAUUGAGUUUUUUGAUUUCCAGAUUUUUUGAGAAUGGUUUUCUUGGCUAUAGAGAAAUAAGUAAGUUGUUCUUGUAUUUGUUUUGUAUGUUCUGAU